RNAcentral lists this ribosomal RNA (465 nucleotides) under uncultured bacterium. RNAcentral's name for it is "partial 16S ribosomal RNA". It matches the Rfam family "Bacterial small subunit ribosomal RNA", at positions 28 to 507 of the family's 1533-position model. The record is from RNAcentral.
GACGAACGCUGGCGGCGUGCUUAACACAUGCAAGUCGAACGGAAAGGCCCCUUUUGGGGUACUCGAGUGGCGAACGGGUGUGUAACACGUGAGUAACCUGCCCUUGACUUCGGGUUACCUUCCUGAAACUGGGGCUAAUACCGGAUAGGAAUCCUUGCUUCAUGGUGGGGGUUGGAAAGCUUCGGGGGUUUUGGAUGGACUCGCGGCUUAUCAGCUUGUUGGUGGGGUAGUGGCUUACCAAGGCUUUGUCGGGUAGCCGGCCUGGGAGGGCGACCGGCCAAAGUGGGACUGAGAUACGGCCCAGACUCCGACGGGAGGGAGAAGGGGGGAAAAUUGAACAAAGGGCGGAAGCCUGAUGCAGAAACGCCGAGUGCGGGAUGACGGCCUUCGGGUUGUAAACCGCGUUCAGCAGGGGCGAAGCUUGGGGUGACGGUACCUGCAGAAGAAGCACCGGCUAACUACGUG